GCUGAGGACAGAGAACGUUAGUACUGAGGAGCGAGGAGGGAGGGCUGAGGAAUGAGCCACAAGGGGGAGAUUGCAACAGGAUAAAUAUGUGGCAGCAUGGAUCACCCAAGUAAUAUGAUCCGGCUGCAGGCAGUGUGACAAGGGAGGAGCGAGCACCAAGGGAGCU
Molecule: long non-coding RNA, 166 nt
Organism: Xenopus laevis (African clawed frog)
Lineage: Eukaryota; Metazoa; Chordata; Amphibia; Anura; Pipidae
Exons: 2
Source: RefSeq, a predicted model, not a curated record